This is a long non-coding RNA of Sebastes umbrosus (honeycomb rockfish), 1370 nucleotides long. RefSeq lists it as uncharacterized. The transcript is spliced from 2 exons. NCBI's taxonomy places the organism in Eukaryota, Metazoa, Chordata, Actinopteri, Perciformes, Sebastidae. The record is from RefSeq and is a predicted model, not a curated record.
CAGUCUCACCAAACUACUGACUCCUCAUUAGAUCAAAUGUUCAAUACAAUGUGUAAUAAAAUGUUAUCAGACCAAUCUAUACUCGGUCUAUACUCGGUCUCCAAUGAUUGUUGUAUUAUUCCUGUUAUUGUGUAACAUCUUGCAGCUCUCAUUCAGUGGCCUCUCGGAGGAGUUUAUGGUGGCAUGAACAAGAGAAGUCCUACAGUACAGAGACUCCAGGGACCAGAAGGUGUCAUCGGCUGGCAUCGAGGUGAGAACAGAGAGGAAAUGGAGAGCAGAGAAAGCAGUGGAGGUGGUAGAGUCAUGUCUAAAGCACAGGGUGCUGGUGGGAAUCACAGCAGCUAAUGGAAGAUUACGAAAUGCGACCAAACUACGAGACUCUGCACACCAACAACCAACUGUGGAGCGGUCACCUCCUGCUGCUGCUGCUGCUCUCUGCUGACCCUCGUCGUCGUCGAUAUAUAAUAAGAGAACUGGAGGGCGGGGACCCGUUCAUUCCCAUGACAAGGUGCUCUCCUCCUCUUCUGUUCAGGUUGCCUUUGUCUUUCAUUUUUAGUUACACAGCAAACUGUUGGUCUGAUGCAGUCUGAGGCCUGUUUCACAAAACAAAGAUAACGGAUUAAGCCAGGGUUUUCCAGUUAACCUGGCUCAGUUUAGCCUUGACUCAGUUUCACGAACACAGUGGCACAUCAGUUACCAUGGAGAUUUAUUGUCUGCAGCUAUUCUGCUCCAGACCAGAAUAACAGCCAGGCUUGAUUUAUCCUGGUGUCUUAUCUGUUCAGUCAGCAGCCACUCAGAUCAUAAACCAGUGUGUUUUUACAGUUAGUCUAUGAUCUUAUGCAUGUAAUUUGCCUUAUUUGUAUUAGCCUGUGUAGCAGUGCAGGUAUUUACAGAUAGCUAGGACCAGUUCCAGGUUCUGAGGAGCAGUUUAUAACUAGCACUCAAGAAUAACAGACCACAGACCAAGAAGUAAGUUUCAACUGCUGGCUUAUUUAUAUAGUAAAGUUAGUAGUACACAUGCACAUUAAUUGGUACCAAUAUCACACAUUUCACACACCAGACAGGAAUUGUGCAUUUAAAUCCCUGGAAACCAUUGAAAAUAAAACCCAAAAUUCUCAGAAAACGUAUUUCUCCCUAUUCUGUUUCACUCUGGUUGGAUCUAAACCUAUUUAAGUUCAGGAGAUUUUUUCAACUUAGGCGCCUUUAAGUUGUAAUUUAGUUUCUUGUUUUUCUUUAAGUUGACUCAGUACUAAGUUCUCAUUUUUAUCUCAGUUAGCCCUUUUCAUGAGCUUAGUUCUCUUUCUCUUUAGUUCACUUAACCAUUAAGUGAAUGAGUUACAGUAACAGAACCUCUUUGUAUCACCAAUUCA